AAAAAGAAAAAAAAAAGAAAGAAACAGAUAGCAUCAUAUGUCAAAUAUCUGUAGGCAUGAAGAAAACGCACCCUCCAGAUGUAUCAAUUAUUUCCUGCAAACGAGAAAACCAGAAUUAGUUCACCAAUGACAAAUUCAAUAUGUGUAUAUUCAGGUACAUAUACAUAUUAUUUAAGUGUUUGUGAGAUCCAAGUGUAUGACAAAAAUCAAAUUCAAGAGGAAAUAUUAAGAAUUCACGAAGGAACAACUAUUUCCCUCACAUAAUCAUCACUUACAUGGAGGUACAUAAAUGAAAUUCACUUUAUCAACUUAAUGGCUAGCCAAUUGACCAGAAUAAUCCAAACCUUUUCUACCAUUAUAAAUUUUAGCUAUUCCUUUCAAUAUUAAUCCAAACCUUUUACAUUGACAUCAGUUUUAGCAAUCAUACUCAAAUUAGUAAUAUUUUUUUUUUUUCGAAUACUGAAUCAAACCUUUACCACAAGCAAUUAGUGUUUCCUUUAAAAUAUUUAGCAUAAUACGUGCCAAUAUCCAAAAAUGAAUUCUACCAGGAUGCAUAGAGAUAGAUGCUUUAGGGCAAAAUAGCUUAAGUCCUCUUUCCUAUUUUAGUUCUCCAAAAAUGAAUAAGAUGCUCAAAUUCUAAGGUGGAAAUAAUUUGUCAUGCUAUUCAAAAAGUAUAGGUUCAAUAAAGGUUUAAAAUUGCAUUUCCCUGAGGUAUAUGAAAAAAAUUCAAAUAUUCUUUCAUCAGGUUGCGCCAAACAGAUAUGGCCAAUGCUUGGCAAGAUGAUCGAAAUCUACACAGAGAUGCAAUUCACCAAAUAUUUCAAAUUUUUUAAUAUUAAUAAUCCCAAAUUAGUUUUAUUACUGUCAAUACUCUCUACCCAAAUUCUCUCUUAUUUGCUACUUCAAAAUCAUAGAGGUUUGAACACCAACGUCAUUAAUUUUAGAGGCUCAACAAAGAAAAUUCUUUGAUGUAGAAAAUGUGCUUCCAAUUUAUCAACCUCAAUCCGAAAAUUAUCAACUACACGCCUCAGCACCAUGAGCUUCCCUUAAGACCUGCAUUUUCAUUCCCCAAGACUGCAGACCAUGUAAAGAACCUUCCUUCCUCUACGUCCAAUGCAAUAAAUUUGCUAACAAAUGCUUUCUGUCCUACCCUUGCAGUUCAAGAGAAGUUUCAAAAUUUUUUUAAUUGUUCUAUACAAAUCAAGAGUUCUAGUUUCACAAACCAAAUGAGAGACAAACUAAAGAAGGAAAUUAACUUUGUCCUCUAGUUUACAUCACCACAUAACAGUAGAAAUAACCCAAUAGAAAUUGAAGUUGUUAAUUAAAGUUUAGGCUGUGAUAUAUCAAAAGCAAAAGAAUCUAACAUGUAGAUGCUAGCUGAAAGUGUCUACCGAGAUCAUAAUUACCAAAAGCAAAUCACAGUUCCAUGAAGUAAAUAUGAGAACAAGAAGAACUCCAGAUCAAAGACUAAUAUGAAGAAUGAAAGAGACCUAACCUAAGUAUCUUGCAACCAAAUGAUGUAGCAAUAAAUGGUUAAUAAUCAGCACAUAACAUCUAUAUACCAUCCAACUAGUCAAGUUAGAACUCCUUUUCACUAAUUCCGCUGGUUUAUGCAUAGAAAGACCUGACCAUCCAGAAAAGUGAACUUUCUAUGGAGUAAAGGUAUGCAAAAUACAUUUUUUAGUUAAUUUACCUCACUCUGCACCCUUCAAAGCUUUUUAAGAAAGUUUUAACAGAAAAUUUAGGCACUUAUCUCAUAGAGACUAUGAACCUAUGUUUCCAUAAACUCUUAUCUCAUUUAAGGCAUCUCAAGCCCGUGUUUCCAAACACCAAAAUAAUAUAAAAGUCAUGUCAUGAUCUUGCUCAUAUUGAAAAACUUUUCCUUUUUCAUUUUUUUCAGAUGAGGGAGAUCUAGAUGACAAGAAAAUGAAAUGAAUUCGAAAUUGAUGCAAGGCUCACUUAACACACACAUACACAAAAAAGGCAGUGCAUGCACAGACACACAUGUUCCCUCAAGCAUGCCCAAGGAAAAAGAGCAAGAGCCAGAACAGUCAACCAACAAUAGUAUUAAAGAAUUUGGUAAAGUUAACGAUCAUUAAGACCUCUACUUCCAAGUUCUGGUACUUAAACUACAUAGAAGACAGCAACAAUCCCAAGACUGCAAUCUGACAAUUAACUAUUUCCAUUAAAGAUCCUAAUUUGCUACCUCACAUUUCAAAUUCCCACCUUUUUCUUACCCCACCUAACUAAAAUCAAUAUCCAGUGAUAAAAUCUUUCAGUUUCUGCAAUAGGGUUGAUUCUAAAAACCAAAGUUGCAACUAAUUGAUUGUAAGAUGGGGCAAAACAAAAUUGAUAUCAAAACAAACUACAAACCAAAGAAUUAGCAAAACAAGAACUGAAUCCAACUAUUUAAUUGAAUGAAUAGAAAUAGAAAUAAAAAGCUUACAAGAUGUGAAGGAUUCAAUUUUGAUUUCAAAGUAGAUUCAACUUGUUCCUUUGUCACUCCCAUACUUCUCUCUCUGGCGUCCCAGCGUUUGCUUCCUGGCAAUUC
This 2551-nucleotide unclassified non-coding RNA is filed under the name Hevea brasiliensis (rubber tree). Lineage: Eukaryota; Viridiplantae; Streptophyta; Magnoliopsida; Malpighiales; Euphorbiaceae. The record is from RNAcentral.